Molecule: ribosomal RNA, 433 nt
Filed under: uncultured bacterium
Lineage: Bacteria
Description: partial 16S ribosomal RNA
Rfam family: Bacterial small subunit ribosomal RNA
Source: RNAcentral
AACGAACGCUGGCGGCAUGCCUAACACAUGCAAGUCGAACGAUGCUUUCGGGCCUAGUGGCGCACGGGUGCGUAACGCGUGGGAAUCUGCCCUUGGGUUCGGAAUAACAGAGAGAAAUUGCUGCUAAUACCGGAUGAUGUCUUCGGACCAAAGAUUUAUCGCCCAGGGAUGAGCCCGCGUAGGAUUAGCUAGUUGGUGGGGUAAUGGCCUACCAAGGCGACGAUCCUUAGCUGGUCUGAGAGGAUGAUCAGCCACACUGGGACUGAGACACGGCCCAGACUCCUACGGGAGGCAGCAGUGGGGAAUAUUGGACAAUGGGCGCAAGCCUGAUCCAGCAAUGCCGCGUGAGUGAUGAAGGCCUUAGGGUUGUAAAGCUCUUUUACCCGGGAUGAUAAUGACGGUACCGGGAGAAUAAGCUCCGGCUAACUCCGUG